Molecule: long non-coding RNA, 1037 nt
Organism: Notolabrus celidotus (New Zealand spotty)
Lineage: Eukaryota; Metazoa; Chordata; Actinopteri; Labriformes; Labridae
Exons: 6
Source: RefSeq, a predicted model, not a curated record
UCGUGACUCUGAAGUCUGUCUCUGGCGCUCGACCAAUGAUAGUUAGUGUAUUUGAUGACGUAGACGAUCGGUCGCCCUACUUCCUGUUUCAUCUGCAUUUCGUAAUCGCUGCGAAAGAUCCCCCAUAGACAAAGACCGCAUGGUCCGGGAUCUUCGUCGACCUUAAACCGCGUGCUCUGUCAUGAAGUAAUUUCCAAUCCAUCGCAGGAUAUUUUGUGUCUGUAAGCACUAGAGAGAGCUUUACUUCCUUUGAGGAUUACAAGUGGCGCUAAGACAUGGUUACACAGCAAACUCACCGGGGUGUAGUCGUUAUCGGAGCAAAAUAAAUCCUUCUCUGCGUUUUCAUCAUGCAAUAUGUGCUCUUCUUAGUUUGAUGGUGAUAAAAAUCACCACCACAAGGAGACAGACUAUCAGGCAUGUCACCAGGAGAACCAGUAAUGAUGAACUUCUUGCAGCUCCAGCCUGCAUCUUGGGGAUGUCUGAACCCACUGGGAAAGGAGAGCAUGCUGGUUGACCACUUGUUCUCUGUCAUCUAUGUGAAAGGAGUUUGACUCACCUGUAUGGCUAAGAGUUCCACUGUCAAUAGUUUGUGGUACAUCGGACACAACUCACAAGACAAAAACUCCCCAAUGCUUUCCCAGGGAGGACACUUAGUACUUCCGUUGAGACAUAUUUUUUGUCCUCGCGGACCACUUGGGCCUGAGCUGUUGAACAGAACAUGUGUCAUCAGUAUCUGUAUCCAACGAAGAAUUUUCCUUUUAUGGUUAACACAUGUUGUGACCCACUUACCUGUACGAUGAAACUCUGGCCCAUCAUUAAAUUUCCAGGAGAUCUGGGGAGGGUAGUGGUUCCCCUCAGCAGUACACUUUAUGGCAGACUUUCCCUCAUGCUUUGCUACACUCAUUUUGGGAUAACCUGGAAAAGAAUCAUAGAAAAUGUUGUCUUUUGAAGCAAGAGAUGGGAGUUAUCUCUAUUUCUGGAAUCUGAUAAGUUGCUGUCAUGUCGUGAUGAAAUAAAGGUUUCACUUUUAUUACCCA